This 253-nucleotide ribosomal RNA is filed under the name uncultured bacterium. Its description in RNAcentral is "partial 16S ribosomal RNA". It matches the Rfam family "Bacterial small subunit ribosomal RNA", at positions 524 to 776 of the family's 1533-position model. The record is from RNAcentral.
UACAGGGGGUGCAAACGUUGCUCGGAAUCAUUGGGCGUAAAGCGCACGUAGGCGGUUCGUUAUGUCGGAUGUGAAAGCCCUUGGCUUAACCGAGGAAGUGCAUCCGAAACUGGCGAGCUAGAGUACUAAAGAGGAUCGCGGAAUUCCCGGUGUAGAGGUGAAAUUCGUAGAUAUCGGGAGGAACACCGGUGGCGAAGGCGGCGAUCUGGGUAGAUACUGACACUGAGGCGCGAAAGCGUGGGGAGCAAACAGG